Molecule: long non-coding RNA, 353 nt
Filed under: Setaria viridis
Lineage: Eukaryota; Viridiplantae; Streptophyta; Magnoliopsida; Poales; Poaceae
Description: long non-coding RNA (SVIR_LNC009516)
Source: RNAcentral
GCAAUAAUAAAUAACUAAAUUAAACUCAAUUAAAUUAUGGAUGCAGUAACUAAUAAGUAGGAAGAAUAUAAUCAAAAUCAAAUCUAUAUUACCCUAAAUAAAACUCAACUAAACCAUGGAUGUAAUAAUUAAUAAGUAGAAAGAAAAAAAAUCAAACUCCAUUAUAUAUUAUAUUCAAUCAACCUCGUUAAUUAAAACAACGGAUCUACUAAAUAAUAGGUAGGAAAAAUAUAAUCAAAAGUAAUUCUAUAUUGCAUUAAAAUGAUAAACAUAGCAUUGUAGUGGUUAUAAUAUGACCAUAGAAUUUUAUUUAUAAAAAUAAUCCAUCUCUAAUUAUUUUCUCUCUCUUCCCU